UUAAAUUUUAUAUUAAUUAAAACUCAUUCAAGGAACCGUUGCUUCACAUUACACUGUUCUCCACGUUGGCAUAUGUUUGAAACUAGAAAAAGUGAAAAGAUGGGUGUCAUGCUGGCAAACCCAUUGAAGGAACCACCACUGGAGGUGGUCUUAUACAUGAAGUAAAAAAUGUAAUGCCUGACUAGUCAAACCAACUCACACUCAUCAACUAAUAUAAAGCAAGAAAGUCAGAAACCAAACACUUGUCACAAUUGUUAAUUUAAAUUUAAAUUGGAAAAGAGUGAUUAAAACGCUGCAAUCUGAAGAACAUCGUGUUGUUCGUCAUCUUUCUCAUUCCAAUAGAAAAACUAAAAAAGCAUCUCUAAGCUUCAUAAUACAAGCAAGUAGUCAUUGUGCUCAGCUCUGAUCAUGGACGCUAGAAGUAAGCUCGGAACUUAACAAUUUUAUGAUAGCGUAGAGAAAUCGGGCUUCAAAGUGAAGAACCCUAAAACUUCAAGUCCAAAUGUAACGGCUAUGGUGGAUGGAAAAAGAAAUUAAACAUGGGGGAAAUAUUCAUUAGGUCUAGGCGCACAAAGUGGUAUGAAGUUUUACUCAAAAUAGAAACUCACAGUACCUGUACGGAAGCAAGCUCAAAGGUGUGAAAAUGGUGGAUUUGCAAGCUCAAACAAGUAAGUGAGUCCUUCUCUUUCAAAUUCUACCAACUUCAGAGUAUAUGGGGUAGUGAUUCUGGAUGGGAAAAGUGGUUGGAAGUAGUGUGUAUUGAUGAAUUCGAUAGCCCUGUUUUAGUGAGGUUGAGGUGUAAAUUUGGCAUCUUGGCUUUUCAAGCUUGGUUUUGGAGAGAGUUGUGAGGUUGUUAUAUAGGCUGAGUGAGGAGAGUUGAUACGUGUCAAUUUGAAUCCAAAUUCGUGUGAAAAAUGAAUGUGUUGUGAUUGUUUUUUUUGUAGAAAUUUGUGAGUUGGCAAAGUGAUGCUGCAAUGGUCUUUUUGCAGUGCAAAUCCUUUAGUUUUGUGGGAAGGUAGGAAAAUAUGGUGUAUUGGUUGGGGCCCACUGACUCAAGAUAACUUGGUGGAUAAAACACUACAUUUGCAAGGUAAUUCCACUACACUCUGUACCAAAUUCAUGUGGUCCCUUUUUCGCCUUGCCUUUACUGCACUUUGGUCCAUUUAAACUUCCCUCUGGCAAUUAAAAUCUGGAUGGAUUAAUAUGUCAAACCAUAACCAAAAUUUACACACAUUAUGGUGUUGAGAAAUGAUGACUUUGAUAAUGAUUUGGACAAUGACCUGAUAUGAUUUUGGCAAUGCUUUUGAUAUGGUUUUGUUACAUGGUUAUGUAUGACAAUUUGACAUGAUUUUGGCAAUGCUUUUGAUAUGGUUUUGUUGCAUGGUUCUGUAUGGCAGUUGCUACUGUAUUAGACUGGAGUGCAUAUCUUGCUUGGCUUGUUUGAGAUAUGUGUCUGCAUAUAUUGGUGUAGCUUAUCAUGUUGAUCAGGUACAUGUUGUGGCUACAGGUGCAUUGCAGGUGGGCAUUCUGUAGAUUGGUUUAGGGACAUUGUUCUGCAUGUUGAUGCUUGCUGCAAGGCUUGAUUGUAGACUGGUUUAGGGACACUCAUGGUGUAGCAAAUGGUAUGCUGCUUGGUCUUUGCUCAUGCCUUUUUGUGUGCUGCAGAAUUGGUAAAGUCCUGCAUAAUUGUGUUGCAUUUGUGAAGCUAUGCAGGAUUUCAAGGCAUGUUCUUGUGAGUUGUAAUCCACAUGAUGGUUUGCUUCAUGGCCUGAGUUUCUAAUGCAUUAUUGCAGGUUGCAUUAGGCAUGAACUUGUUUUGCUUUGAUGGCUUGCAAUGCCUAUGGUUGGACCAUGCUAUAAUGGCUCUUUACACAAGUUUGAUGCAUUACUUUUGCAUGACAUAAUUAACAUAUGAAUGAUGUUUAAUGUCUUGUUUGAAUGCGUGAUAUGUUGUAAUGUCUUUGGUUGGUCUUUUGUAGGUUACGCACACAUGGAAUGGAUUGGCACAAUGACUUGCAAAGAUAUUCAACUAUCUUGCGCAUGAAGUAACAUUGGCAUAUGACACUAACCGAGGAUCAAGAGUGAAAUAGGGAUUAAGGUUUUGGGAUGGAAAAUGGGUGAGUUGACUACGGUCAAAAUGUCAACUUUUUUUUGUAAAUUUUGUAUUUUUUUUGGAACAUCUUAUGAUUUAUAAUGAAAAUUGGUGCUUUUUGUAGUAAGACAAAGAUAUCUUUUUGUAUCUUAGAACCUUCAUGCAUUCAUGUAAUGAGAUACUUUAUGAUAUGAGCUAUUCAGAUGUCAUGUAAAUGGAUGAUUAUGAUUGAAUGGAUGUGAGAAAAUUAAUGAA
RNAcentral lists this long non-coding RNA (2347 nucleotides) under Lathyrus oleraceus (garden pea). RNAcentral describes it as "Pisum sativum (pea) long non-coding RNA (PSAT_LNC030876)". Lineage: Eukaryota; Viridiplantae; Streptophyta; Magnoliopsida; Fabales; Fabaceae. The record is from RNAcentral.